Trichobilharzia regenti is the source of this 46-nucleotide non-coding RNA. The record is from Rfam. NCBI's taxonomy places the organism in Eukaryota, Metazoa, Platyhelminthes, Trematoda, Strigeidida, Schistosomatidae.
GUACUAAUGAAGUGUCCCAAAAAAGGACUAAACGGCUGUCCAGUAC